UCUCUCAAUCGCCGAAUCACUCCUUCUAC
Molecule: small RNA, 29 nt
Filed under: Bombyx mori (domestic silkworm)
Lineage: Eukaryota; Metazoa; Arthropoda; Insecta; Lepidoptera; Bombycidae
Description: ovarian small RNA-29832
Source: RNAcentral